UGCUUGAUUGCUUUUCUUAUUCCGACCUCGGCGGCGACGGACUGUUAAUCCGCAGGUCCCUGGUUCGAGCCCAGGUCGGGGAGCCA
This 86-nucleotide transfer RNA is filed under the name Burkholderiales bacterium. RNAcentral's name for it is "tRNA-Asn". Lineage: Bacteria; Pseudomonadati; Pseudomonadota; Betaproteobacteria; Burkholderiales. The record is from RNAcentral.